Molecule: small RNA, 2839 nt
Filed under: Rattus norvegicus (Norway rat)
Lineage: Eukaryota; Metazoa; Chordata; Mammalia; Rodentia; Muridae
Description: uncharacterized LOC102555516
Source: RNAcentral
AAUGGUGUUGCUAUAAGGUUUGACCCUUUGAUAACUCUUGGUGGAUUAAGUGUCCCUAAUCAAGACAUCCAUUUUAGAUUACAUUCAAAGGAUCUUGUUUGUGUAUUAUUUUGAAUACUGUGAGACCUGGCUAUUCCCGGACAGUGGCUGAAAUGGCUUUCCAAGUAUGGGGCCUUCAGACUGCACCCUAGAUCUAAGACCUAGGAGCCUGCCUCAGUCUGAGAAGUUUCUCAAAAAAAAAAAAAGGAGGGGGCAUUACUUCCCAAUUAACUCAAUUAACUUCUUCUGGUGUUUAAGAAGCUACCAGGAAAUUAACCAAAUAAGGUCUCCUGCCUACUGUCUAUGUCUGAGGAACUCCGGGCCCUGGAAGUGAUUUCUUAAAGAAUGUACUAACCAACCUCAGGACUGCAAUUAGGUUCUACCAAGGAGAGGAAUGACAUCAGAGAAGGAGCCAUCUGUUUCCUGCUGAGCCCCCAACAGAGACACUUUCCAAUCAAGAAUGUACUGCAGCGAAUUCAAGAAGUACCAGUGUGGAACAUUAUAAGUGCCUCUGGGAGCAUCAACAGAAUAUUCAACAGAAUUUUCAUUUGUGAAUAUGGCUCGCACCAACAAAGGUACAGGGUCUCUCACUGAACCCAGGACAAGGCAGCCAUCUUCCAUCGAUGGGAUGGAGUUAACAAGCAGGUGUGUGUGUGACCACACCGGGUUUUCCCACGGGUGCUGAUGACUUGAACUCAGGGCCUUCAACUUGUCUAAAAGUAUCCUCCCACUUCUCGUGAUCUGUGGGAAAGAAUACAAAGUGUGAACAGAUAAGGAAAAUACACAAAGAAAUACAAAGUAGCAAGCCCAGCUCAGAAAAGUCCCAUGCUGCCAAAUGGUCAGGAAGGUUUAAUUUUGUCCAAAAAAAAAAAAAGUCUGAAAAGCUGUAACAAAGCCCAAAAGCCAAGGUGCCACAUGUAGGCUGCAGAUGUGAACAGCGGCAGAAACCGUCCUUUCUCUGGGUUGAUGUAAAAAGACAACCCAAGAGUCUCACCGAGGCACACGCAAAACCAGCCAGGAAUGACGCUUUGAAGCCAUCCUUUAAAUGAACUGUCUCGGUGUCCUACAGUUCAUCAAAGGUUUCCUGUCUCUGAAAGCCAAAGAUAUUCCUAACACGGGAUCACUGAGUUCCCUGAGGAUGGCAAGGCACGGCAAGGAUCAGUGGCUUUAAAUCAUGCCCCAAACUUAUUAUUUGGGCCUUUUAAGAUCUCAGGAUCUCAGAAGAAUUCCUGAAGACUGAGGUUCCAGGCCAUAGCAAUUCCUGAGUGUGGCAUUACCACACAACAGACACUCCAGGAACUGUACUUGAGGGAGUGACUCUACUCUUGGAACCUAAUAAAUACUUGUUUGUGUGAUAGUCGGUCUUGAGUGCUAGCUUUACAGGAUUUAGAGUCACUAUGGAAACAAAGCCCUGUGAGGGUUUGGAAAUUCUGCUAAUUAAUGAUGGGAAGCCCCGCCUUCAACAUAGGCAGCAUCAUGGACUGAGGUGCUGGACUGCAUAAAAGGGGGAAAGUGAACCUAGCCAAGCCCCAACACUCACAGCUCUCUGCUUCCUGGCCACAGAUGUCCUAUGACCAAAUGCCUCGUGCUCCAGCCUCCGUGAUGUCUCUCUCAUGAUGGCCUAUACCAUUAAACUGUGAGCCGUCCCUCCCCUCUCCCAUUACAAUCUAUUCCCAGUAGUCCAGCAAGUAACUAUCACACCAGCUUCCAGCAACCAUUGAGCUAAUUUUAAACCACAGUGACAGUGAUAUUACAAAUCCCAGAGACACGGAGAGGUGUGGCCUCUUACCACAAGGGCUUGCAGUUUACGUGGGAGACGGAAAGACUCCUCCGAUGCUGUGUUGGCAUAAUUUUAAAUCAGUUGAGAAACAGAUUUUCAAAGAGUCUAGUUUUGUCAAAACGGGUAAGCAGUAGGGACAUGGAGUGGAAAUAAUAUAACAAAAUGCUCGCCGUAAUCACCGACGGGGGGAGGGCUUCAAAGGCGCCUUGAUUUUUCUCCCUUGUUCUUGUCAUCUCCAAGUGUGAAAUUUCAAACUACAGAUAAGUGGAGGAAGGAAAAUUAAAAACCACUUGUGUCCCGCGCACCCAGCAAUUUGAAGUUCCUUCUAAUUCUGUUCUUCUAAUUUGCCGCAGAUUAUUUUUAUUGGAUCCUAAACAAUAGAGAUGAUAUUACUGUAAAUAUCUCAAAGCAAGCAGUGUAGAGGAGGAACGGCUCAAUACAAAAGGCACAUAAUAGCCACAGAUAUGAAAUGCUAUAUAGCCCGUCUCACAGAGAGAACGGCCAAUUAACGGCAACUAUCAAGCGUGAUCCGACUCCAUUUGAAACCCACACAGUUUGUAGUGCUGUUUCCUAAGUGCUUUGUACAAUUCAUUUCGCCUGUUUAGUUCCCCGCUGUGCCUUCUUUCGCUUCAGCAUUUUGCCCCCAGUAUCUUCGUUAAUUUAUAAAUGUUUAUAACUGUGGCAGGAAAAUAAUAACCGUCACAGAGGAAUGGAUCACCAGUUUCAAGUGAUUGGUUUUAUAUCCCAGUCAGUACCAGGCACUGAAGGAUAGGGGGUCUUGAAGUUAGGCCCUGGUUCAUGCUCCCAGUCCCAUGCUCCCAGAAAUAAGACUCAGAUGCAAAAUAUAUUUACAAAUGCCUAGCCAUAUGGCUAGGUUCUACUCUGACUAGAUCUUAACUAAAAUAACCCAAUUAUUUUAACCUACAUUUUACCACAUGGCUGGUUACCUGUGCUGAGGUACCAUGCCUCUAGCUCCUCACAUUGUCCCAAGAUGGCUCUCCAGCCUCUGGCUCUAUCCCA